Molecule: ribosomal RNA, 440 nt
Filed under: uncultured bacterium
Lineage: Bacteria
Description: partial 16S ribosomal RNA
Rfam family: Bacterial small subunit ribosomal RNA
Source: RNAcentral
CCUACGGGAGGCUGCAGUGGGGAAUAUUGCACAAUGGGGGAAACCCUGAUGCAGCAACGCCGCGUGAGUGAAGAAGUAUUUCGGUAUGUAAAGCUCUAUCAGCAGGGAAGAAAAUGACGGUACCUGAGUAAGAAGCCCCGGCUAACUACGUGCCAGCAGCCGCGGUAAUACGUAGGGGGCAAGCGUUAUCCGGAUUUACUGGGUGUAAAGGGAGCGUAGACGGCGAUACAAGUCUGAAGUGAAAGCCCGGGGCUCAACCCCGGGACUGCUUUGGAAACUGUGUUGCUGGAGUGCUGGAGAGGCAAGCGGAAUUUCUAGUGUAGCGGUGAAAUGCGUAGAUAUAAGGAAGAACACCAGUGGCGAAGGCAGAUUACUGGACGAUAACUGACGGUGAGGCGCGAAAGCGUGGGGAGCAAACAGGAUUAGAUACCCCAGUAGUC